Molecule: ribosomal RNA, 488 nt
Filed under: uncultured bacterium
Lineage: Bacteria
Description: partial 16S ribosomal RNA
Rfam family: Bacterial small subunit ribosomal RNA
Source: RNAcentral
GACGAACGCUGGCGGCGUGCUUAACACAUGCAAGUCGAACGGUGAAGGGACCAGCUUGCUGGUUCUGGAUGAGUGGCGAACGGGUGAGUAACACGUGAGUAACCUGCCCCCUUCUUCUGGAUAACCGCAUGAAAGUGUGGCUAAUACGGGAUAUUCUGGGUCUGUCGCAUGGCGGGCCCGGUAAAGAUAUUGCUUCGGUGGGGGAUGGGCUCGCGGCCUAUCAGCUUGUUGGCGGGGUGAUGGCCUGCCAAGGCGGUGACGGGUAGCCGGCCUGAGAGGGUGGACGGUCCGACUGGAACAGCGACAACGCCCAGACUGCUACGGGAGGCAGACGUGUGGAGUAGUGAGCAAUGGGCGCAAGCCUGAUGCAGCGGCGAGGCGUGAGGGAUGGAGGCGUUCGGGUUGUAAACCUCUUUCGCUAGUGAAGCAGGCCUGCUCCUUGUGGGUGGGUGGACGGUAGCUGGAUAAGAAGCGCCGGCAACCUACGU